This 231-nucleotide ribosomal RNA is filed under the name uncultured bacterium. Its description in RNAcentral is "partial 16S ribosomal RNA". It matches the Rfam family "Bacterial small subunit ribosomal RNA", at positions 104 to 334 of the family's 1533-position model. The record is from RNAcentral.
CGGGGUGGAGUAAUGUCUGGGGAACGUGCCUGAUGGAGGGGGAUAACUGCUGGAAACGGUAGCUAAUACCGCAUAACGUCGCAAGACCAAAGAGGGGGACCGUUCGGGCCUCUUGCCAUCGGAUGUGCCCAGAUGGGAUUAGCUAGUAGGUGGGGUAACGGCUCACCUAGGCGACGAUCCCUAGCUGGUCUGAGAGGAUGCCAGCCACACUGGAACUGAGACACGGUCCAG